AGUGAACGCUGGCGGUAGGCCUAACACAUGCAAGUCGAACGGCAGCACAGUAAGAGCUUGCUCUUACGGGUGGCGAGUGGCGGACGGGUGAGGAAUACAUCGGAAUCUACUUUUUCGUGGGGGAUAACGUAGGGAAACUUACGCUAAUACCGCAUACGACCUACGGGUGAAAGCAGGGGAUCUUCGGACCUUUCGCGAUUGUAUGAGCCGAUGUCGGAUUAGCUCGUUGGCGGGGUAAAGGCCCACCAAGGCGACGAUCCGUAGCUGGUCUGAGAGGAUGAUCAGCCACACUGGAACUGAGACACGGUCCAGACUCCUACGGGAGGCAGCAGUGGGGAAUAUUGGACAAUGGGCGCAAGCCUGAUCCAGCCAUACCGCGUGGGUGAAGAAGGACUUCGGGUUGUAAAGCCCUUUUGUUGGGAAAGAAAAGCAGCAGGUUAAUACCCCGCUGUUCUGACGGUACCCAAAGAAUAAGCACCGGCUAACUUCGUG
This 492-nucleotide ribosomal RNA is filed under the name uncultured bacterium. Its description in RNAcentral is "partial 16S ribosomal RNA". It matches the Rfam family "Bacterial small subunit ribosomal RNA", at positions 29 to 507 of the family's 1533-position model. The record is from RNAcentral.